Molecule: long non-coding RNA, 223 nt
Filed under: Elaeis guineensis (African oil palm)
Lineage: Eukaryota; Viridiplantae; Streptophyta; Magnoliopsida; Arecales; Arecaceae
Description: long non-coding RNA (EGUI_LNC040143)
Source: RNAcentral
UUAGUCUCCUCUACAUGUCUCUAUGUGGUUUGACAUUUUCUUCAUGGUACAUGUGGUGCAUGCAGAUGGAGGGAUCAAUACCUUUCAAAUUGGCAAUUGAUCACUCUAUGGCUUUCUUGUUCUCUUUUAGAAUCCCUAUGAGCCAUAUUUUUUGAUCAGGGGUCAAGUCUGAGGCAAUGAUCACUGGAAGGGUAUCAUUAGGUCUUAGGAAAACAUACUUGAG